AGUAUUCAAAGUAGUUUAAAAAUAUAUAAUGUUCAGCGAUCUGACCAAGAGCUAAUGAGCCUUCACGUAAAUGGGUCCAGUCAUGCCUCCCAGUAAGAAGCCAGAAAGCUCAGGAAUUAGUGUCUCCAGUGGACUGAGUCAGUGUUACCGGGGCAGUGGUUUCUCCAAGGCCCUUCAGGAAGACGAUGACCUCGACUUUUCUCUGCCUGACAUCAGAUUAGAAGAGGGGGCCAUGGAAGAUGAAGAGCUGACCAACCUGAACUGGCUGCACGAGAGCAAGAACUUGCUGAAGAGCUUCGGGGAGUCGGUCCUCAGGAGUGUCAGUCCUGUCCAAGACCUGGACGAUGACACUCCCCCAUCCCCUGCUCACUCCGACAUGCCCUAUGAUGCCAGGCAGAAUCCCAACUGCAAACCCCCCUAUUCUUUUAGCUGCCUCAUAUUUAUGGCCAUCGAGGACUCUCCUACCAAGCGCCUGCCAGUAAAGGAUAUCUACAACUGGAUCUUGGAACAUUUUCCAUAUUUUGCAAAUGCACCUACUGGGUGGAAAAACUCAGUGAGACAUAAUUUGUCAUUGAAUAAGUGUUUUAAGAAAGUGGACAAAGAGAGGAGUCAGGUAAGCCUCUGUGUCUGGAACUCAAGUUUGUUUUAUUUAAAUUUUUAAGAUUUGAUUUUUCUCCAUUAAAAAAAUGAAUUUAUGUUCACCACACUGGAGUAGCAGUUGUAA
This is an RNA transcript of Galeopterus variegatus (Sunda flying lemur), 724 nucleotides long. It is a transcript of the gene named forkhead box protein N3 pseudogene, with no coding region annotated. The record is from RefSeq and is a predicted model, not a curated record. NCBI's taxonomy places the organism in Eukaryota, Metazoa, Chordata, Mammalia, Dermoptera, Cynocephalidae. The transcript is spliced from 2 exons.